UGGCCCAGAUCGUUUACCGUGAAAAAAUUAGAGUGUUCAAAGCAGGCAGAUCCAAUUUUCUGCCACCGAAUACAUUAGCAUGGGAUAAUGGAAUAGGACCCUGUCCUCCUAUUUUCAGUUGGUUUUGGCAGCGCGAGGACUAGGGUAAUGAUUAAUAGGGAUAGUUGGGGGCAUUAAUAUUUAAUUGUCAGAGGUGAAAUUCUUGGAUUUAUGAAAGAUUAACUUCUGCGAAAGCAUCUGCCAAGGAUGUUUUCAUUAAUCAAGAACGAAAGUUAGGGGAUCGAAGACGAUCAGAUACCGUCGUAGUCUUAACCAUAAACGAUGCCGACCAGCGAUUAGGAGACGUUGAAUACAAAACACCACCAUCGGCGCGGUCGUCCUUGGCGUCUCGGUUUCGGCCGGGGCGCGGGGAUGGCUUAGCCCGGUGGCACCGGUGAAUGACUCCCUAGCAGCUUGUGAGA
Molecule: ribosomal RNA, 461 nt
Filed under: Acanthamoeba sp.
Lineage: Eukaryota; Discosea; Longamoebia; Acanthamoebidae
Description: SSU rRNA
Rfam family: Eukaryotic small subunit ribosomal RNA
Source: RNAcentral